This 73-nucleotide transfer RNA is filed under the name Actinomycetota bacterium. Its description in RNAcentral is "tRNA-Thr". It matches the Rfam family "tRNA". From Rfam's summary of the family: Transfer RNA (tRNA) molecules are approximately 80 nucleotides in length. Their secondary structure includes four short double-helical elements and three loops (D, anti-codon, and T loops). The record is from RNAcentral. Lineage: Bacteria; Bacillati; Actinomycetota.
GCCGGAGUAGCUCAGCUGGAAGAGCAACCGCCUUGUAAGCGGUAGGUCGAGGGUUCGAGUCCCUCCUCCGGCU